RNAcentral lists this ribosomal RNA (253 nucleotides) under uncultured bacterium. RNAcentral describes it as "partial 16S ribosomal RNA". It matches the Rfam family "Bacterial small subunit ribosomal RNA", at positions 524 to 776 of the family's 1533-position model. The record is from RNAcentral.
UACGAAGGGGGCGAGCGUUGUUCGGAGUUACUGGGCGUAAAGGGCGCGUAGGCGGCGCUCCAAGUUAGGCGUGAAAGCCCCGGGCUCAACCUGGGAAUUGCGCUUAAGACUGGAGUGCUCGAGUGCGGAAGAGGUGAGUGGAAUUCCCAGUGUAGAGGUGAAAUUCGUAGAUAUUGGGAAGAACACCAGUGGCGAAGGCGGCUCACUGGUCCGCAACUGACGCUGAGGCGCGAAAGCGUGGGGAGCAAACAGG